RNAcentral lists this unclassified non-coding RNA (1892 nucleotides) under Hevea brasiliensis (rubber tree). Lineage: Eukaryota; Viridiplantae; Streptophyta; Magnoliopsida; Malpighiales; Euphorbiaceae. The record is from RNAcentral.
GUUGAAUUAGAAUAUAUUUUAAACCGAACUGGUCAUUUCAAUUUGGAAAAGAUCCAAACUGAAACCGUCUCUCUAAAAUAGAAGGUAAUAAGGUUGCUACUUGCUGGCGAUGGCCUGUUUGCCACAUAAAAAGAAAUGAACAAAUUACAAAAAUAAAGCCAGUUACAUUUUCUGUAGAAACCUUUGCUACAUCAAUUGCCAAAAAGAAAAGAAAAUAAAAAAGCACACAUUCAAAAUUUCUCACUUAUUCGUAUCAAAGCAGCAGCUGAUAGCAUCAUUAUUUCCACUCAGCCAUAUAAUCACCAGUCACGAUGAGGUCAGGAGCCAUUCUGUUGACUAGAAUUAACUCUCAAGCACCUUAAGAGGGAAGAGUACUCUGAAUGUUUGAAGGCAUCAAGAUGUUGAAACCAUCCGCUGCAGUGGACACGAGCAUACCAGGAAUCUGGCCAUGCCAAUGAAGCUCUUUCAAAUCUUUUUGUCCCUGAUGAACAAACAAAAGCUGAGGGGGUAUAUCUGCUGGAGCAUUCACCUGCUCAUUUGUUUUAGCUCUAAAUUCUGCUUCCUCUUCCUCAUCCUUCUCUAAAGAAAGGUCCCAUAUUGUCAACUGAUUGUCAGAUGAUGAAACUGCUAGAACAGAGGCUUCAUGUGGACUCCACUCAAUGGAUGUUACAGGUUGCUUAUAGUAUUGAAAAUGUGCGACGACUGAUUUAUCUUCUUCCUGAUUUUGUGAUAACAAUCUAAGAUCACGAAUAGAAAAUGUCCCAUCAUCACUUCCAGAUGCCAGCAUAACGCUAGCCAACCUGUUCCAUGAAAUAACAUUCACAUCCGCAUUAUGUGCCUUGAAAGAAAUUGCUGGUGACUUCCCCAAGCGGAUAUCCCAUAUUGCAAUACUUCCAUCAACAGAACAAGAGGCAAAUACCUCAUCUUCCGUAGGGCUCCAUUGUAGAUCCUCCACACUUGCAGAAUGUCCAAUAAAUGAGGCACUACCAACAUUCCAUGUUGCACCAGAUGUAGGCUCCCAUAAGUGAAUACAAUUCUUGCAGUCACCAGAUACCAGCCUUCCAGUAACACGAGGACUCCAAUCUAUUGCAUAACCUUCAUCUUUAUGCCCUCCAAACUUAAAUAAAGGAGCCUGAUUAAAAACUGAAGAGCCUCCCUGGUUAACUUCUGCUUCUGAUUGUGCUAAAGCAUUCAGAUGAGCAUUAAAAUCCCAUAUCUGAACAUGACCAGUAUCCGACCAAGAUGCACAUAUAUGGGGAUUUUGUGUCAUUGCACGUAUACGAUUGACACAUCCUUCCUGAGCUACCUUGCGUAACUGCAAAGCUGGUGUCAAAGAUCCACCAUUCUCCUCAUCUUCACCAUCUUCAUCACUAUCACUACAAUCAGUAUCCAUGUCAGUGUCACCGGAUGUUUUUUGGGUGGGCACCAAUUCACGCCUUUUACCAGAAAUAUUAGAUACUUUGAAUAUUCCAAUAGAGUUAUAAGAAGCUUUUUCUGCCUGAGUCCCUGCAACCAAAUACACUGUGUGGGGAAAUUCCGUACGAAGCAAACCCAAGGAAUCACGUACUAUAUCAAAACUCAAGCAAGGCCAGCCAAUGUGAAAGCCAUGAAGAGAAUUGUAGGCAGAGGGGUCACACUCGAGCUCCUCGCCUUCCUCCAGCUUGUCCACCCCUGGUUGCCACACCGUUGUGGGCAUUGACGGUAUAGAAGACGAAGAAGAUGAUCCAUCUCCUUUCUUUGAGCCCUUGUUUUUUCUCUUGGCCUUUUUAGGGUUUUUGACGCUGCGAACCAUUUUUGCAGUUUCUAGGGUUCAGAGGAGAAGUCUUGCUGCAAGUGAAGUGAAGGAGAUACGUGGAGCUAGGGUUUUAGCAGACUUCUUAGAGUGUUUUUAU